RNAcentral lists this long non-coding RNA (6001 nucleotides) under Vigna radiata. RNAcentral describes it as "long non-coding RNA (VRAD_LNC016173)". Lineage: Eukaryota; Viridiplantae; Streptophyta; Magnoliopsida; Fabales; Fabaceae. The record is from RNAcentral.
UUCUUCCGCAAGCUACAUGAAUUAAUCAACACGUUUUUAAUAAGCUAGCUUGCCUUGCACGGAUCUAAGCUAUCUCCAUCUAUAAAAGAGAAGCUUAGAUCUCUUGUAAACCAACUUGAUUUGGAGUAAUGAAAUGCUGUUGAAUUAUCAACUAUCCUCUCAAGUUCAACCUUGUGCCUUGUUAUCUUGCACCUCCUAUAGCUCCUUUCCCCUUUGGAAGGUUGCCUGACCUAUAACUCUACCAAAAACAUUCAUCCAACAUCACCAGACAUUUUCACAAACACCUCCCGUGCAAUUCACACUUCAUCUUCUUCAUCAUUCCGCUGCCAAUUCUCUACGACUUGGAGCAUGCUUCUGCGUGUCAUGAAGAUGUUUCCAUCAUUUGGCAUCAAGAGCCAGCCGUUCCAGUCACACUUCAAGAGCUAAGUGCUCUUUCUUCCAAUUUUUCUUCAAUUGUCGUGUUGUUUUGUUCUUACAUGUACUGUCUGAUUCAUUUUUUUUUCUUUCUGAUACUGUGUUUGAGUGAAUUCUUUGUUCGUUCACUAUUCUAUAGUGUUCAAUUUUCAUUUUAAUCGGUGCAUAUCACUUGUUUGAGUCCAAUUCAUCAUCCAAUUUUACACUCCGUUUCUGUUACUGUCAUGUGCAGUUCAACUUUGUUGUUUAUCACUGUCAAUUAGUUUUGAACUGUUUCUGCCUUUUCUUCAGUUUGUUAAUGAGAACGAAUGCAAUGAUGACUCAUUUUGGAUCGAAUAAGCACUGAGAUUUUGUCUCGCUUAGAUCCGUAUAGCUUACGCAUUCUGCAAUUCAUCCUCUGGUUUUUUUUUCCAAACCUGUUUCAACCAGAUUUAUUGACUUUCAAGAUUGAAACAAUUUUGUUUGAUGUUUUUUACAUCAGUCUAAAGUGUUACGAUUCCAGAAUUCUCCAUUAUUCUCCAAAAGCUUAGUGCAGUUGCGUAAUUCUGGAUUCACUCAUUGAUUUCAACGUUAUUUCGGGAAUGAAAUUGUGAAUUCUGUUUUGUCCAGUUUUCUCUGCCUCCCAAGCUUUGAACACGUUUCACUGAUGAUUUUAAACCUGUUACAAGCUGUGCCAACCAGUUUAAGUCAUUCAAAUGCAAAAUGAGUGAUUGAGUUGUGUGAAAACUGAAUUUCCCUAGAGUCACUGUUCUGCAGUGUUAGCACCGUGCUGCUGUGUCACUUGCUUGUGUCUUAGGCCAUUUUGAUUCACUAGCUCAUACAUCUACAGCUCGAUCUAGUUCAUAGGACAUUCUUAUAUGUUGCUUGAACCAACCAGCCAUUGACUCUUUGCAUUUUCUCACAUCUGCUGCUGUCUACUCCAUUUUACAGCAUAUUUUUGCAACUCAAUAUGUGAUUUUGAGCUUGUGUCUGGUUUUGUGCAUUGUAUCUGUUUGAACAUGUUUAAUUGAACAUUUAAAACUUGUUUGCAUGGUCUAUUUGCUCUUUUCUCAGCCACAACAUCAUUUCACAUCUUGAACCAUCAUUUUUGCUUGAAAUAUGCAAGUGCACACCUCAUAUUGAGAUCCUUUAUGUUUUGGAUCAGUUUCAUUGGGUUUGAAGUCAUUUUUGGUGAAUUGAAAUUGGUUUGUUACUGUUCAUAUGGUAAAUUUUGAGCCAAAUUUGACUUGUUGCAUCACCAAAUUGUACUCAUUUUUAAGUAGUGCACUUGUCAUAUUCUGCUGCAGUACAUUUCUUUGCUGAUUAUGUGUUUGUACACAUCCAUUAUGAUGAUAUAAAGUUGCUUGAUGUGGCAUUUGAUCCUUUUAACCACUUCCACUGAAUUCACCCACUGUAGUUCCAAUUUUUCUGGCCAUUUUUUUAACUUUUUGGUGCAGUUUUAGUGCUUUAAUUCUGCAUAAUUCACAAUUGCCACUUUGAAUUUGAGUUGCUGAGUGUUUCAGUGUUGUUUCAGUGUUUGUACAAGUCUAUUUGCUUAUUUGAACACUAUUUUCACUGCUCAUAUGGUCCAGUAGUGCUUCUACCCGAGAAACAUAAGCCAAAACACCAAUUUUUAACCAAUUUUGGGUAGUGCACCAGUGAAAUAUUGAUCUGGACCAUGUCUUGCCUGUUUCAUUAAUUCCACACCUUGCAAAUGAUGAUAUAAACUUGGUGGAAGUAUCAUAGGACCAUUUGAAUCACUGCCAUUGAAAAUCACCAUUGUUGUUCCCAUUUUUCAGCUUAUUUUAACUACUGCAGUAGCGUCACUUUGCUGGUUUCACCAUUUCAGUUUCAAUCGUUAAUUGGAUUGCCAAAAGCUGGGGCAUCUUGUUCCAAACACAAUUAAAUCAAUAUCCAGGUGUAAACCAAUCAAAAAAAAAUGAUGAAUGAUGGAAACAUCUUCAUGACACGCAGAAGCAUGCUCCAAGUCGUAGAGAAUUGGCAGCGAAAUGAUGAAGAAGAUGAAGUGUGAAUUGCACGGGAGGUGUUUGUGAAAAUGUCUGGUGAUGUUGGAUGAAUGUUUUUGGUAGAGUUAUAGCUCAGGCAGCCUUCCAAAGGGAAAAGGAGCUAUAGGACUAACCCCACAGAAACCAAAGAGAUAGAGAAGCAAGUUAAUGAUUUAUUGGGAAAGUGGAUACAAAAGAGCCUUAGCCCUUGUGGGGUGCCAAUGUUGUUAGUCCCUAAGAAAGAUGGUUCUUGGCGAAUGUGUACAGAUUGUAGGGCUAUUAACAAUAUCACAGUUAAGUAUAGGCACCCUAUUCCUAGACUGGACGAUAUGUUAGAUGAAUUACAUGGAGCAAAUAUGUUCACCAAGAUUGAUCUUAAAAGUGGAUAUCAUCAAAUCAGAAUUAAAGAAGGAGAUGAAUGGAAAACCGCUUUUAAGACCAAAUUUGGCCUCUAUGAAUGGUUAGUCAUGCCUUUUGGCUUAACCAAUGCUCCUAGUACCUUCAUGCGUUUAAUGAAUCAUGUCCUUCAGGAAUACAUAGGCAGCUUUGUUGUAGUCUACUUUGAUGAUAUUCUAAUCUAUAGCAAAGGUCUUAAAAAGCAUCUUCAUCAUGUGAGAAAAGUUUUGAUUUUGCUUCGUCAACACCAUUUAUUUGCCAACUUUGACAAAUGUACCUUUUGUCAAGAAAGUGUUAUUUUUCUGGGCUUCAAAGUUGGGAAAGAAGGUGUACAUGUUGAUCCUAGCAAAAUCAAAGCUAUCCAAGAGUGGCCUAUCCUGAAAACAGUGGGAGAAAUAAGAAGUUUUCUAGGUCUAGCAGGUUUCUAUAGACGCUUUGUAGAAAAUUUCUUUACUAUUGCUGCUCCCCUCAAUGAACUUUUAAAGAAGGAUGUGGCAUUCAAAUGGGAUAAAAAACAAAGUCUAUCCUUUGAGACCUUAAAACAUAAGAUAACACAUGCACCCAUUCUACAUUUACCUGAUUUUUCCAAAGCUUUUCAAGUAGAAUGUGAUGCUUCUGGGGUAGGAAUAGGAGCUGUGCUUAUACAAGAAGGUCACCCUAUAGCUUAUUUCAGUGAAAAACUUAAGGGACCUACUUUGAACUAUCCUACCUAUGACAAAGAACUUUAUGCCCUUAUUCGAGCAUUGAAAACUUGGGAACAUUAUUUGGUGUCUAGAGAGUUUAUUAUCAGCACUGACCAUGAAUCUCUCAAGUAUAUUAAAGGGCAAGGAAAGCUNAACAAGCGACAUGCAAAGUGGAUUGAGUACCUUGAGCAGUUUCAAUAUGUCAUCAAACAUAAAAAGGGGAGUACUAAUAUUGUUGCAUAUGCUUUAUCUAGACGACAUGCAUUACUAGUUACUCUAGGUUCACAAAUACUAGGUUUUGAUGACAUCAAAAAACUUUAUGACACUGACCCUACCUUUGCAUCCACUUAUGCAUCUUGUCUUAAAAAGCCAUUCGACGGAUUCUAUAUUUCUGAGGGGUAUCUUUUUAAUAAAGGAAAACUAUGUAUACCCCAAGGAUCCAUUCGAAAGCUUUUUGUCAAGGAAAGUCAUGGAGGAGGACUCAUGGGCCAUCAUGGAGUUGAUAAAACUCUUCAUACUUUAAAAAGCAAAUUUUAUUGGCCACACAUGAGGAUAGAUGUCCAAAAGCAUUGUUCUAGUUGCAUAACUUGUUUACAAGCUAAGUCUAAAGUAAUGCCUCAUGGACUCUACCUUCCCCUUCCAAUAGCUAGUACCCCUUGGGAAGAUAUUAGUAUGGAUUUUGUCUUAGUUCUACCAAGAACUCAAAAGGGGUUUGAUUCUAUCUUUGUGGUGGUUGAUCGAUUUAGUAAAAUGGCUCAUUUCAUACCUUGCCACAAANGAUAAAACUCUUCAUACUUUAAAAAGCAAAUUUUAUUGGCCACACAUGAGGAUAGAUGUCCAAAAGCAUUGUUCUAGUUGCAUAACUUGUUUACAAGCUAAGUCUAAAGUAAUGCCUCAUGGACUCUACCUUCCCCUUCCAAUAGCUAGUACCCCUUGGGAAGAUAUUAGUAUGGAUUUUGUCUUAGUUCUACCAAGAACUCAAAAGGGGUUUGAUUCUAUCUUUGUGGUGGUUGAUCGAUUUAGUAAAAUGGCUCAUUUCAUACCUUGCCACAAAAUAGAUGAUGCUAGCUAUAUAGCAAAACUCUUCUUCAAAGAAGUUGUUAAAUUGCAUGGUUUACCCAAAACUAUAGUUUCUGAUAGAGAUGUUAAGUUCCUUAGCUACUUUUGGAAAACACUUUGGGCCCAACUAGGUACUAAACUCCUAUUUUCUACAACAUGUCACCCACAAACUGAUGGGCAAACAGAAGUAGUAAAUAGAUCUCUAUCCACUCUAUUAAGGGUAAUGUUGAAGGGCAAUAUUAAAAAUUGGGAUGAUCAUCUACCUCAUAUAGAGUUUGCUUAUAAUAGAGUAGUUCACAAGACUACUAAUCUUUCUCCUUUUGAGGUUGUUUAUGGUUUUAACCCUUUCACACCUCUUGAUUUACUUCCUCUUUCAGAAUCAUCUUCUUUUCUUCAUAAAGAAGGUCUUUCUAAAGCGGAAUUUGUCAAAAAGUUGCAUGAAAAGGUUAAAAGUCAUAUUGAAAAACAAACUCAAAAAUAUUCUGAAUACAACAACAAAGGGAGAAAACAAGUAAUCCUUAAUGAGAGAGAUUUAGUUUGGCUUCACUUGAGAAAAGAUAGAUUUCCUUCUCAACGUAAAUCCAAAUUAAGCCCAAGAGGUGAUGGACCUUUCAGAGUGGUCAAGAAGAUAAAUGAUAAUGCAUAUCAAUUAGACCUUCCUGAAAGUUAUGGUGUCAGUCCUACUUUUAACAUCUGUGACUUAAUUCCUUUCACAGGAGAUGCCCAACAGGAUUACCAAGAUCUGAGGACAGAUCUUUUUCAAGAGGGAGGGACUGAUGGAGGACCAUCCAAGNUCAACAUAGGACCUUUAACAAGAGCCAUGUCCAAGAGAAUCCAAGAGGAAGAGGGAGCACUCACUACUUUACUCUUAUGGAGUAUUAAUUACUAAACACCUCUUUCUCUUUGCUAAAUAAACUUUACAUUGUUUUGUAGGGUAUCAAAGCACCUAAGCAAGCUUGGUUAGACAUUGGAAGGCAAGAAAGGUGCAUACGGAUUGGCCAAGUAACUUCUGGAUUGGAAAAUACAAACCAGCGCCCAGCCACACGUUCCCAACGCUCAGCAUUUUCAGCAGCAUUCAAAUGUAUUGCAGCACGUGUUUGGCAUUGCACCUAUGAAGCACAUGGCCAGCUGGAUAAACUUCUGCUGCAAGCUACAUGAAUUAAUCAACACGUUUUUAAUAAGCUAGCUUGCCUUGCACGGAUCUAAGCUAUCUCCAUCUAUAAAAGAGAAACUUAGAUCUCUUGUAAACCAACUUGAUUUGGAGUAAUGAAAUGCUGUUGAAUUCUUAGCUAUCCUCUCAAGUUCAACCUUGUGCCUUGUUAUCUUGCACCUCCUAUAGCUCCUUUCCCCUUUGGAAGGCUGCCUGAGCUAUAACUCUACCAAAAACAUUCAUCNAACAUCACCAGACAUUUUCACAAACACCUCCCGUGCAAUUCACACUUCAUCUUCUUCAUCAUUCCGCUG